Molecule: transfer RNA, 75 nt
Filed under: Nitrososphaera viennensis EN76
Lineage: Archaea; Thermoproteati; Nitrososphaerota; Nitrososphaeria; Nitrososphaerales; Nitrososphaeraceae
Also listed under: 5 other names
Description: tRNA-Pro (TGG) (tRNA-Pro-TGG-1-1)
Rfam family: tRNA
About the family: Transfer RNA (tRNA) molecules are approximately 80 nucleotides in length. Their secondary structure includes four short double-helical elements and three loops (D, anti-codon, and T loops).
Source: Rfam by way of RNAcentral
GGGGUCGUUGUCUAGCUUGGUUAGGAUGCCAGCCUUGGGCGCUGGAGGUCGCUGGUUCGAAUCCGGCCGACCCCA